GUUCCUGUAGUUGAGAAUCAACGAUGGUUUUUCAGACCAUAGGCCUUGGAGAGAAGCCAAGCAGGAAUU
This 69-nucleotide transfer RNA is filed under the name Eurypyga helias (sunbittern). RNAcentral's name for it is "tRNA-Glu". The record is from RNAcentral. Lineage: Eukaryota; Metazoa; Chordata; Aves; Eurypygiformes; Eurypygidae.